RNAcentral lists this ribosomal RNA (253 nucleotides) under uncultured bacterium. RNAcentral describes it as "partial 16S ribosomal RNA". It matches the Rfam family "Bacterial small subunit ribosomal RNA", at positions 524 to 776 of the family's 1533-position model. The record is from RNAcentral.
UACAGAGGGUGCGCGCGUUAAUCGGAAUUACUGGGCGUAAAGCGCGCGUAGGCGGUUUUGUAAGUCGGGUGUGAAAUCCCCAAGCUUAACUUGGGAACUGCAUUCGAGACUGCAUAGCUAGAGUAUGGGAGAGGGAAGUGGAAUUUCCGGUGUAGCGGUGAAAUGCGUAGAUAUCGGAAGGAACAUCAGUGGCGAAGGCGACUUCCUGGACCAAUACUGACGCUCAGGUGCGAAAGCGUGGGGAGCAAACAGG